Molecule: non-coding RNA, 22 nt
Filed under: Arabidopsis thaliana (thale cress)
Lineage: Eukaryota; Viridiplantae; Streptophyta; Magnoliopsida; Brassicales; Brassicaceae
Source: RNAcentral
GGUAUAUGGUUAGAACGUUUAC